UACAGAGGUCCCAAGCGUUGUUCGGAUUCAUUGGGCGUAAAGGGUGUGUAGGUGGCGCCGUAAGUCGGGUGUGAAAUUUCGGAGCUUAACUCCGAAACUGCAUUCGAUACUGCGGUGCUUGAGGACUGGAGAGGAGACUGGAAUUCAUGGUGUAGCGGUGAAAUGCGUAGAUAUCGUAAGGAAGACCAGUGGCGAAGGCGGGUCUCUGGACAGUUCCUGACACUGAGGCACGAAGGCCAGGGGAGCAAACGGG
RNAcentral lists this ribosomal RNA (253 nucleotides) under uncultured bacterium. RNAcentral describes it as "partial 16S ribosomal RNA". It matches the Rfam family "Bacterial small subunit ribosomal RNA", at positions 524 to 776 of the family's 1533-position model. The record is from RNAcentral.